Molecule: ribosomal RNA, 402 nt
Filed under: uncultured bacterium
Lineage: Bacteria
Description: bacterial SSU rRNA
Rfam family: Bacterial small subunit ribosomal RNA
Source: RNAcentral
UCGGGAAUUUUGGGCAAUGGGCGAAAGCCUGACCCAGCAACGCCGCGUGAGGGAUGAAGUAUUUCGGUAUGUAAACCUCGAAAGAAUGGGAAGAAUAAAUGACGGUACCAUUUAUAAGCUCCGGCUAACUACGUGCCAGCAGCCGCGGUAAUACGUAGGGAGCAAGCGUUGUUCGGAUUUACUGGGCGUAAAGGGCGCGUAGGCGGCGCGGUAAGUCACCUGUGAAAUCUCUGAGCUUAACUCAGAACGGCCAAGUGAUACUGCUGUGCUAGAGUGCGGAAGAGGCAACCGGAAUUCUUGGUGUAGCGGUGAAAUGCGUAGAUAUCAAGAGGAACACCAGAGGCGAAGGCGGGUUGCUGGGCCGACACUGACGCUGAUGCGCGAAAGCCAGGGGAGCAAACG